AUGUAUGCGGACCAGAUCUCCACCGGCCGCAAGCGCUCCAUCCAUGACCGCCUUGACGCCGACCUCGCCCCCGACCGCGGCGGCGCGGACGCCGCCGGCCGGGCUCGUAACGCGCUGUCCAAGAGGCAACGACAAACUGAUGAUAAAUGGAAGCAUGAUCUUUACCGGGAUGAUGAAUCAGCUUCAAGAUCAGUUGAUCCACGGGAUUUGCGAUUCAAGCUUCAGAGGAAAAGCUCUCAGCAAGGGUUUGCUGGCCAAAAGGGUUCCGAGGUACGUGAUCUACGUGAGAUGUUAUCUGGAACAAUGCACGCACAACCAUCAAAUGUUGAUCCUCAAAAGAGGAAACCGGUGUCAGAGGUUGUGAAAGUCACAAGGCGUGAAAAUGUUGAUGGAAGGCCUGUACGCCUAAGUAAGAAAGUAUCAAAACCAUCAACAUCCAAGAAGACUUCUCAGCCAAAGGCUGAAAGUCCACUCGACAGUUUUCUGAAAUCACUAGGACUUGAGAAGUAUUCUAUUACCUUCCAGGCGGAGGAGUUGACAAUUGUUGUUUUGCAGGUUGACAUGGCGGCCCUACGUCACAUGACUGAAAGCGAUCUCAAGGCGUUGGGCAUCCCGAUGGGUCCUAGGAAGAAGAUUACCCUUGCCUUGGAAUCCAGAGCGUAG
RNAcentral lists this ribosomal RNA (663 nucleotides) under Triticum aestivum (bread wheat). RNAcentral describes it as "partial small subunit ribosomal RNA". The record is from RNAcentral. Lineage: Eukaryota; Viridiplantae; Streptophyta; Magnoliopsida; Poales; Poaceae.